GCCUGGGUGGCUCAGUCGGUUGAGUGUCCGACUUCGGCUCCGGUCAUGAUCUCACAGUUCGUGGGUUCGAGCCCCGCAUCAGGCU
RNAcentral lists this transfer RNA (85 nucleotides) under Felis catus (domestic cat). It matches the Rfam family "tRNA". From Rfam's summary of the family: Transfer RNA (tRNA) molecules are approximately 80 nucleotides in length. Their secondary structure includes four short double-helical elements and three loops (D, anti-codon, and T loops). Further hydrogen bonds mediate the characteristic L-shaped molecular structure. tRNAs have two regions of fundamental functional importance: the anti-codon, which is responsible for specific mRNA codon recognition, and the 3' end, to which the tRNAs corresponding amino acid is attached (by aminoacyl-tRNA synthetases). tRNAs cope with the degeneracy of the genetic code in two manners: having more than one tRNA (with a specific anti-codon) for a particular amino acid; and 'wobble' base-pairing, i.e. permitting non-standard base-pairing at the 3rd anti-codon position. Lineage: Eukaryota; Metazoa; Chordata; Mammalia; Carnivora; Felidae. The record is from Rfam by way of RNAcentral.